Molecule: long non-coding RNA, 268 nt
Filed under: Salarias fasciatus (jewelled blenny)
Lineage: Eukaryota; Metazoa; Chordata; Actinopteri; Blenniiformes; Blenniidae
Description: lncRNA (ENSSFAG00005001511.1)
Source: RNAcentral
GUGAUGGUGUAGGUACAGAAUGUAAUGGUAUAGGUACAGUGUCAGCGUGUCGGUACAGUGUUUGAGGGUGUAGGUAUAGUGUCAGGGUGUAGGUACAGUGUUUGAGGGUGUAGGUACAGUAUGUGAUGGUGUAGGUAUAGUGUUUGAGGGUGUAGGUACAGUGUGUGAUGGUGUAGGUACAGUGUUUGUGUCUGAGCAGAGGGUCAGUUGGAUCAGAAUAUCACAAUGAUUCUCUCAGGUCUUUUCAGUAGCACUGGGUCUGUAUGGA